CAAUAGCGUAUAUUUAAGUUGUUGCAGUUAAAAAGCUCGUAGUUGGAUUUCGGAUGGGACUUGCCGGUCCGUCGUUUCGAUGUGCACUGGCCAGUCCUAUCUUGUUGUCGGGGACUAGCUCCUGGGCUUCACUGUCCGGGACUAGGAGCUGACGAGGUUACUUUGAGUAAAUUAGAGUGUUCAAAGCAAGCCUACGCUCUGAAUACAUUAGCAUGGAAUAACACGAUAGGACUCUGGCUUAUCUUGUUGGUCUGUGAGACCAGAGUAAUGAUUAAGAGGGACAGUCGGGGACAUUCGUAUUUCAUUGUCAGAGGUGAAAUUCUUGGAUUUAUGAAAGACGAACUUCUGCGAAAGCAUUUGUCAAGGAUGUUUUCAUUAG
This 379-nucleotide ribosomal RNA is filed under the name uncultured eukaryote. RNAcentral describes it as "partial 18S ribosomal RNA". It matches the Rfam family "Eukaryotic small subunit ribosomal RNA", at positions 592 to 976 of the family's 1831-position model. The record is from RNAcentral.